Molecule: RNA transcript, 2063 nt
Organism: Cucumis sativus (cucumber)
Lineage: Eukaryota; Viridiplantae; Streptophyta; Magnoliopsida; Cucurbitales; Cucurbitaceae
Gene name: alpha-1,3/1,6-mannosyltransferase ALG2
Exons: 10
Source: RefSeq, a predicted model, not a curated record
UCAGUUCAGCUUCGUUCCCGCUGACCCUUAUAGUCGGCUGCCCACCCCUUCGCUUGCACUUGAAGCCGGCUGGAUUCUCCACCAGUGUCCAGUUGCUCCAACUUCAAGCAAGCCGCUCCUUUCGUCCGCCCAACACUUAUUUGGUGUUGAAAUUCUGCUUACACUUUGCUAAGUUAAAUAUUUUGAAUUUCUUGAAUUUAAUUUUCGUCCUCCCUGUCGUCCGCCAAACGGAAAACUCUCGCCCGAAGCUCCGAGGGACCUUCUUUUCUCUUCCGAGCUCGUUUUCGUGACGCCGAAGUGGAAAGAACUAUAGAAGCACAAAGGCGAUCGAAGAUGAGGAUCGCCAUAAUCCACCCAGACCUUGGUAUAGGUGGAGCUGAGAGAUUGAUUGUAGAUGCUGCCGUUGAACUUGCUUCGCAAGGACACAACGUCCAUAUUUUUACAUCACACCACGACAAACAUCGGUGCUUUGAGGAGACCAUUGCUGGAACAUUUCCAGUUACUGUGUAUGGUGAUUUCCUACCUCGCCACAUCUUUUACCGUCUUCAUGCAGUUUGUGCAUACCUACGGUGUAUUUUUGUCACUCUUUGCAUGCUGUUCAUGUGGCCAUCAUUUGAUGUCGUACUAGCAGAUCAGGUUUCUGUUGUUGUUCCAAUACUUAAACUGAAAAGGUCAUCAAAGGUUGUAUUUUAUUGUCAUUUUCCGGAUCUCUUACUGGCCAAGCACACGACAAUUUUGAGGAGGCUGUAUAGAAAACCCAUAGACUUAAUUGAAGAACUGACAACCGGAAUGGCAGAUCUGAUAUUAGUUAAUAGCAAAUUUACUGCAUCCACUUUUGCCAAGACAUUCAAACAUCUUGAUGCACGAGGAGUUCGACCUUCUGUUCUCUAUCCAGCGGUUAAUGUAGAUCAGUUUGAUGAGCCCCAUUCUUCUAAGUUGAGUUUUCUUUCUAUCAACCGUUUUGAAAGGAAGAAAAACAUUGAAUUAGCUAUCUCAGCCUUCGCCAAGCUUGGCACACUUGAUGGAUGCACUCUUCAAGAUUAUAAUGUAGCUGAUGUUUCCUUGGUCAUUGCUGGAGGUUUCGAUAAACGGCUUAGAGAGAAUGUUGAAUACUUGGAGGAGCUCAAGAAUUUAGCCGAAAGAGAAGGUGUAUCAGAACGUGUUACCUUCAUCACAUCCUGCUCAACACUCGAAAGAAACGCGCUCCUUUCCCAAUGCCUGUGUGUUCUCUACACGCCGAAGGAUGAGCAUUUUGGCAUUGUUCCUUUGGAAGCCAUGGCAGCUUACAAGCCAGUUAUUGCAUGCAACAGUGGGGGUCCAGUUGAGACAAUAAAACAUGGCACCACAGGAUUUCUUUGUUCGCCUAAUUCUCAAGAGUUCUCUGUGGCAAUGGCGAAACUCGUUCAGGAUCGUGCCAUGGGAGCAAGAAUGGGUAAGGAAGCCCGACAACACAUUGUCAAUUCUUUCUCUACAAAGAUAUUUGGUCAGCAACUGAAUCAAUACGUUGUGGAUGUCGCUCGACUUAAGAGAGACUGAAACUGAAGAUCAAUUUAGUAUGAAGUCAAUUCGCCACUGGUGUAGUUGUGAGAGAAUUCAAUUGCAACGAGCUUCAAUCACUACGUACCAGAGAAGAUAUUAAAAUUGAUAAUUUUGGAGCUAACAAUGAUGGUUUAGGCACAAUGAAAUUGAACACAAGUAAACGAUACAAAACGUUAGGAACAUAUACAUCGAAAGAAGUUGAGGAAGAAGGCAAGACUACAAUUCGUUGUAGUUGUCCACUAAAUAAUACAACAAUAACAAUUAUUAGUUUAUUCAUGAAGACGUUUUAUAAUUUUCUGAAAAAAUUCUGAGUUGAUGUAACAUAAAUUUGCUGGAGAAAAAAAUAAAACAAAAUAUGGAUUGUUAACCAAACAAACCCUUGAUAAACUAAAGUUUGAAACUUUCCUUUCAUUUUGAUAUUUCUGUUCAUUUCCACAGCAUAAACAAGGGAGACUACAAUUCUUGUUAUCUUUUCCAUGCCAAUCUUCCACAAAAGUCUUGUGGGAAUUGUUGAACAAAAAGAA